Molecule: ribosomal RNA, 89 nt
Filed under: uncultured bacterium
Lineage: Bacteria
Description: partial 16S ribosomal RNA
Source: RNAcentral
UAAACUCCUGUCAUUGGUGAACAAGGCGGCCCGUUAACUGCGGAGCCGCUCGAUAGUAGCCGAAGAGGAAGAGACGGCUAACUCUGUGC